This is a long non-coding RNA of Micropterus dolomieu (smallmouth bass), 151 nucleotides long. RefSeq lists it as uncharacterized. The transcript has 3 exons. NCBI's taxonomy places the organism in Eukaryota, Metazoa, Chordata, Actinopteri, Centrarchiformes, Centrarchidae. The record is from RefSeq and is a predicted model, not a curated record.
UGGACUUCCGUCUGAUGGAGCACUCUGUGAACCAAUCACAAAUAUCACACCAUGUCCAACCCCACCUCCUGAAGUCGUUAUAUAUGACAUUGCUCUAGUCCUUGAGUGGCGUAUCCCAGUCUCCAGUGUGCCAUCAGAUUUCAUUGAACUA